Molecule: small nucleolar RNA, 82 nt
Organism: Lactuca sativa (garden lettuce)
Lineage: Eukaryota; Viridiplantae; Streptophyta; Magnoliopsida; Asterales; Asteraceae
Product: small nucleolar RNA R38
Source: RefSeq, a predicted model, not a curated record
GGAUGUGCAUGAAGAUAUCAUUUUUUUACACAGUUAUCCCUGUCUGAUUAACCUUGAUGUGUACAUGUGAUCUGACUCAUAC